CCUGAUGUUAGCGGCGGACGGGUGAGUAACACGUGGGUAACCUGCCUGUAAGACUGGGAUAACUCCGGGAAACCGGGGCUAAUACCGGAUGCUUGUUUGAACCGCAUGGUUCAAACAUAAAAGGUGGCUUCGGCUACCACUUACAGAUGGACCCGCGGCGCAUUAGCUAGUUGGUGAGGUAAUGGCUCACCAAGGCAACGAUGCGUAGCCGACCUGAGAGGGUGAUCGGCCACACUGGGACUGAGACACGGCCCAGACUCCUACGGGAGGCAGCAGUAGGGAAUCUUCCGCAAUGGACGAAAGUCUGACGGAGCAACGCCGCGUGAGUGAUGAAGGUUUUCGGAUCGUAAAGCUCUGUUGUUAGGGAAGAACAAGUGCCGUUCAAAUAGGGCGGCACCUUGACGGUACCUAACCAGAAAGCCACGGCUAACUACGUGCCAGCAGCCGCGGUAAUACGUAGGUGGCAAGCGUUGUCCGGAAUUAUUGGGCGUAAAGGGCUCGCAGGCGGUUUCUUAAGUCUGAUGUGAAAGCCCCCGGCUCAACCGGGGAGGGUCAUUGGAAACUGGGGAACUUGAGUGCAGAAGAGGAGAGUGGAAUUCCACGUGUAGCGGUGAAAUGCGUAGAGAUGUGGAGGAACACCAGUGGCGAAGGCGACUCUCUGGUCUGUAACUGACGCUGAGGAGCGAAAGCGUGGGGAGCGAACAGGAUUAGAUACCCUGGUAGUCCACGCCGUAAACGAUGAGUGCUAAGUGUUAGGGGGUUUCCGCCCCUUAGUGCUGCAGCUAACGCAUUAAGCACUCCGCCUGGGGAGUACGGUCGCAAGACUGAAACUCAAAGGAAUUGACGGGGGCCCGCACAAGCGGUGGAGCAUGUGGUUUAAUUCGAAGCAACGCGAGACCUUACCAGGUCUUGACAUCCUCUGACACCCCUAGAGAUAGGGCUUCCCUUCGGGGCAGAGUGACAGUGUGCAUGAUGUCGUCAGCUCGUGUCG
Molecule: ribosomal RNA, 991 nt
Filed under: Bacillus sp. (in: firmicutes)
Lineage: Bacteria; Bacillati; Bacillota; Bacilli; Caryophanales; Bacillaceae
Description: bacterial SSU rRNA
Rfam family: Bacterial small subunit ribosomal RNA
Source: RNAcentral